AUAUGUGUAUUAAAUUAAAAAGAUUUUAAUUUAAUUUACUUCUAUUGCAUAAAAUAUUUAUGAAAAGUUUUAAAUUACACGUAUGAAACCACCCUAUUUUCUAACGAUGGUAUCAGAGCACAGGUUCUGAUACAAACACGUAACCCCUUAGUGAAGGAACCAGAUCUAGGGUUUCAGGAUUAGAUCUUGAAACUUUUUCAAGAUCAAGCAGUGAAAGACUAAAAUAAAUCAAAAUUUAUCUUAUAAAACUAAAGAAUCCCUAGAUUUAAGAUU
This 273-nucleotide long non-coding RNA is filed under the name Elaeis guineensis (African oil palm). RNAcentral describes it as "long non-coding RNA (EGUI_LNC070323)". The record is from RNAcentral. Lineage: Eukaryota; Viridiplantae; Streptophyta; Magnoliopsida; Arecales; Arecaceae.